UGUCUCCCUCCUCUCUCUUUCUCCCUCUCUCUUUCUCUCUCUCACAGGUGCCAGUGUCAUUUUUGUGAUCUGGAGCUAGUAUUCUCACUCCAGUUGCAUAGUCACAAAAAUGAUCAUUGGCAGCUGUGGCCCGCGCAUGGA
This 141-nucleotide microRNA precursor is filed under the name Erinaceus europaeus (western European hedgehog). Its description in RNAcentral is "miRNA (ENSEEUG00000016123.1)". The stretch from base 50 to 121 matches the Rfam family "mir-153 microRNA precursor family". The record is from RNAcentral. Lineage: Eukaryota; Metazoa; Chordata; Mammalia; Eulipotyphla; Erinaceidae.